RNAcentral lists this ribosomal RNA (442 nucleotides) under uncultured bacterium. RNAcentral's name for it is "partial 16S ribosomal RNA". It matches the Rfam family "Bacterial small subunit ribosomal RNA", at positions 338 to 795 of the family's 1533-position model. The record is from RNAcentral.
CCUACGGGAGGCAGCAGUAGGGAAUCUUUCACAAUGGGCGAAAGCCUGAUGGAGCAACGCCGCGUGCAGGAUGAAGGCCUUCGGGUUGUAAACUGCUUUUAUAAGCGAGAAAUAUGAUGGUAACUUAUGAAUAAGGAUCGGCUAACUACGUGCCAGCAGCCGCGGUCAUACGUAGGAUCCGAGCAUUAUACGGAGUGACUGGGUGUAAAGAGUUGCGUAGGUGGCAUAAUAAGUAGCUAGUGAAAUCUGGUGGCUCAACCAUUCAGACUAUUAGCUAAACUGUUAAGCUCGAGACCGUUAGGGGUAACUGGAAUUUCUAGUGUAGGAGUGAAAUCCGUAGAUAUUAGAAGGAACACCAAUAGCGUAGGCAGGUUGCUGGGACGGUUCUGACACUAAGGCACGAAAGCGUAGGGAGCAAACGGGAUUAGAUACCCGAGUAGUC